Molecule: ribosomal RNA, 468 nt
Filed under: uncultured bacterium
Lineage: Bacteria
Description: partial 16S ribosomal RNA
Rfam family: Bacterial small subunit ribosomal RNA
Source: RNAcentral
GACGAACGCUGGCGGCGUGCUUAACACAUGCAAGUCGAACGGAAAGGCCCUGCUUUUGUGGGGUGCUCGAGUGGCGAACGGGUGAGUAACACGUGAGUAACCUGCCCUUGACUUUGGGAUAACUCCAGGAAACUGGGGCUAAUACCGGAUAGGAGCUCCUGCUGCAUGGUGGGGGUUGGAAAGUUUCGGCGGUUGGGGAUGGACUCGCGGCUUAUCAGCUUGUUGGUGGGGUAGUGGCUUACCAAGGCUUUGACGGGUAGCCGGCCUGAGAGGGUGACCGGCCACAUUGGGACUGAGAUACGGCCCAGACUCCUACGGGGGGCAGCAGUGGGGAAUAUUGCACAAUGGGCGGAAGCCUGAUGCAGCAACGCCGCGUGCGGGAUGACGGCCUUCGGGUUGUAAACCGCUUUCGCCUGUGACGAAGCGUGAGUGACGGUAAUGGGUAAAGAAGCACCGGCUAACUACGUG